CAGAAAUAAAGGCUUAUGGGUGUGUAAAAUAUUAUUGUUCUAAGAUUUUUAAUUCAUAGAUGUUAGCGUAUGACAUUUUACUGAGAACAUCACAGCAAGAUGAAACAAAUAUUGUUGCAUUCCCUAGAUUCUCCCAUUUUAUUUGCACCAUAAAGCACCACAGUGGAGGUGAAAUAAUAAUACCCAUAACACCUAGCGGUCAAACAGGGAAAUGGUUUCAAUAGUUUUAAAGAGCCCCACAAUGGAGGUGUCAUAAUACCCAUAACACCUAGAGGUCAAACAGGGAAAUGGUUUCAAUAGUUUUUCUGAGAAAAAACAUGAGCUUGCGCACACCCAGACUUUUUUUAUGUGGAGGUUCUGAUAAAAAAGAAAUAGAGUCACACACUCCAUAUAUAAACUCCCAGUAAUUUAUUGGGUAAAUCAACAACAUUUCAGCAUCACUGUGUUUACUCCAGGUUUGUGGUGGCAGGGUAACCUAGUGGUUAGAGCAUUGGACUACUAACCGAAAGGUUGCAAGUUCAUAUCCCCGAGCUGACAAGGUACUAGUCUGUCAUUCUGCCCCUGAACAGGCAGUUCCUAGGCUGUCAUUAAAAAUAAGAAUUUGUUCUUAACUUACUUGCCUAGUUAAAUAAAGGUUAAAAAAUAAAAGGUUAAUUCAUGUCAUGAAUACUUGAACCAGGUUAUGUAGACGAUUAGUGUAACCAAUAGUGAGGGGUGUGUCAAAAUUAUUAUGUUAAUAAGAAUGAAUUAGUGAAACUGUUAAAAAACAAAAGUUUAUGGCAUGUUGAAUAUGCUAUUGUUAUCAUAUGGGAACAUCAUUGAAUAUUGUACAUAACAUUAGCAUCAAUAUACAUUAUUGUUUAAUUCAAUUUCACAUAUUUAAUUGUUUCCUAUUUCAAUUCAUUUUUUUGUUACAUGUAAUGUUUUGGUUCAAACAUAAUGCAUAAUAAGCAUCAUCAACAGGGGGAACAUAUUGGAUGUAUACUAAUAAGCUGUAGAAAGAAUAAAUCCAUUUAAAAGAGAGAAUUGUUCAUAAGAAGGGCUUGAGAUCAAAGUCAAUAUUCAGACCACUAGGGGUCAAUGUUUUUAGGAUAUCCAGUAAGCCUCCCCUUGUAGUAGUACGAUCUCCAUGUUAACUCCUCUCCUUGGUAGAGCAACAUGCUCAAUGCCUGUGUAUUGGAGGUAUGAGAUUGGAAGGUUAGCUUCAACAAAGUGAGCUGCUAUUGGAUAGUCAAUGUUCUUACACCUGAUUGAGCUGCGGUGUUCAGCUAUGUGUUGUUUAAUUGUCUUUUCUUUUGUCCUACAUAGGCUUUCCCACAUGAACAGGUGAUGAGAUAAAUUAUUUGCUUGGUCUUACAUGAGAUGAUCCCCUAACAGGGAUGUUUCUACCUGUAUGUGUGUGUCUGAAGUAGGAUGUUUUUAUAGUUCUAUUUGCACUGAGCCAUGUUUGUAGUUCCCAUUUGGAAUGGGUGUCAAGAGUGUCUGAGUGGCCCAGGGGGCAGGUCAGAUCUCACCAAGAUAUCUCCAAGAGUGUCUGAGUGGGCUCAGGGGGCAGGUCAGAUCUCACCAAGAUAUCUCCAAGAGUGUCUGAGUGGGCUCAGGGGGCAGGUCAGAUCUCACCAAGCUAUCUCUAAGAGUGUCUGAGUGGGCUCAGGGGUCAGGUCAGAUCUCACCAAACUAUCUCAAAUAUUGCGACCACACUUAUAGACCACCAGUGGGGGUUCCUUUUUUUUGUUUGCAAUUUUUUUGUUUGUCUGAUUGCAGAAUAUUCCAGUGCUUUUUCAGGAUUGCUUUCAUUUUCUCUGAAUACUUGGUGUACUUGGUGCAAAAGAUGGUUGUUUUUCUUCUUUGGUAGAUUGUUUUGCAAUUCCUCUCUUGGUUUUUGAGAUGUUUUCAUCAUUGCAGCAUCGAGUUGUGUCCUUGUAGCCUCUCAUUUUGAAAUUAUCUGUCUUUUUAAAAAAUUCUGUCAAAAUCCAAUAGUUUUUCCAUCAUACAUUUUUCCUAUAGAGAAUUGUAGAAACACUUCAAAUGUUUUGUGUAUGUUGGGGUGGUGCAGCGGUUCUUGUGGGCACAUUUUGUCAUCAAAGUCUGUCAUUCUCUGGAUUUAUGGUGCUUUCAAGGAAACUGGGAAGUUUGAAUUAUGAUGUUAGUGAUUUUCAGGACGGAGCUCUAGAAAGAGGCCCAAGUUCCCGACUUGUAUUUUCAAGUCGGAUGACUGCUCAAACUGUAUUUUCUCAGUAGGAGCAUGGUUUUUUUCUGGGUUUCCAGUUGUCCUGAAAUCACUGAAGUCUGAUAUUUCCCAGUUUCAGUUGUUUUGAAUGCAGCAGAAGUUAUGCUGGAUUCACAGCAUGGCCAAUGUAUUCAACCUUUUCUGCCCCAUGGUGUUACAGGUGAAUGUUUAUCCUUUUAAGCUUGGAAAAGAGACCAUUAAAUGCAGAUUUGGACCACACAUCCUCUCCACUGAAUUGCUGGCUAGUGGAUGUUUUGCAAUGCUUGCAGUUAGCCACAGAUUCCUUCCAAACCACUCAUUCCAAACCACUCAUUGCUAGCUAAGAUGUUGAUCGUAUGAUGUUGACAUGAUCAGUCCAAUCAAAGCUACUGUAGACAAAACGUGAGUUGACGUCAUUUUAUCUGUGGCCAAUGACCUUGAGCCUUUUGAAUGGGCACUUCUAAUGUAACUCUAGGGCAGCACCCAAUCGGCUUGAAUUUUUAAGCUCUCCCUGUAGAUUUUGUGGUGAUGUAGUGUCUCCAUGAGUGACAGAACACUGAGCCAAUCAAGGCGCAACUACAGAACAUUACCAACUACGCUCAGUAUUUCCUGCUGGCUGCCCCACCACCGCAGAAAGCACUGAGCUAGGCUGAAACAGCUGCAUUUUGGAGCUGCCUUACUCAAUAAAUCAAAAAAGAGACCAUAUUUGUAUGUGGCUUAUUAACUCAAUUAUUUUUUUCUUACAUUAUUUGCAAACUGAUAUAUGACAGGUAUUAAUGCCAAAAUAACAUGCUAAACAGGUGGGGCUCUGUACCUGAAUCUGUACCUGAAUAACAGGUGGGGCUCUGUACCUGAAUAACAGGUGGGUCUCUGUACCUGAAUAACAGGUGGGUCUCUGUACAUGAAUAACAGGUGGGGCUCUGUACCUGAAUAACUCACCUUCUGAACAUUCUAUUCCCAGCCCAAUGUUCUGCAUCACAAUGCCAGCUUUGCUAUUGUUAUUAAUGAGACCUACCUGUGUUAACAUUGUGGGUUUUACCUAAAUUAUUUGUAUUAUUACUAUUGCUACAGCUACUUGGUGAGCAAACUUUUGGUGACCCACAGUGCUAGUGAUGGCUGACACACACCGAUCAAAUGUUAAACAUUUUCUGGUCAUUUAAAAAAAUAUAUAUAUUUCACCUUUAUUUAACCAGGUAGGCUAGUUGAGAACAAGUUCUCAUUUGCAACUGCGACCUGGCCAAGAUAAAGCAUAGCAAUUCAACACAUACAACAACACAGAGUUACACAUGGAAUAAACAAAACAUAGUCAAUAAUACAGUAGUACAUAAGAAAACAAAAAGUACAGUAUAUAUACAGUGAGUGCAGAUGAGGUAGGCUAAGUCAAUAAAUAGGCCAUGGUGGCGAAGUAAACACAAUAUAGCAAUUAAAACACUGGAAUGGUAGAUGUGCAGAAGAUGAAUGUUUCAAGUAGAGAUACUGGGGUGCAAAGGAGCAAGAUAAAUAAAUAAAUACAGUAUGGGGAUGAGGUAGAUAGAUGGGAUGUUUACAGAUGGGCUAUGUACAGUUGCAGUGAUCUGUGAGCUGCUCUGACAGCUGGUGCUUAAAGCUAGUGAGGGAGAUAUGAGUCUCCAGCUUCAGAGAUGUUUGCAGUUCGUUCCAGUCAUUGGCAGCAGAGAACUGGAAGGGAAGACGACCAAAGGAGGAAUUGGCUUUGGGUGUGACCAGUGAGAUAUACCUGCUGGAGCGCGUGCUGCGGGUGGGUGCUGCUAUGGUGACCAGUGAGCUGAGAUAAGGUGGGGCUUUACCUAGCAGAGACUUGUAGAUAACCUGUAGCCAGUGGGUUUGGCGACAAGUAUGAAGCGAGUGCCAACCAACGAGAGCGUACAGGUCGCAAUAGUGGGUAGAGUAUGGGGCUUUGGUGACCAAACGGAUGGCACUGUGAUAGAUUGCAUCCAGUUGGUUGAGUAGAGUGUUGGAGGCAAUUUUAUAGAUGACAUCACCGAAGUCGAGGAUUGGUAGGAUAGUCAGUUUUACGAGGGUAUGUUUGGCAGCAUGAGUGAGGGAUGCUUUGUUGCGAAAUAGGAAGCCAAUUCUACAUUUAAUUUUGGAUUGGAGAUGCUUAAUGUGAGUCUGGAAGGAGAGUUUACAGUCUAGCCAGACACCUAUGUAUUUGUAGUUGUCCACGUAUUCUAAGUCAGAGCCGUCCAGAGUAGCGAUGCUGGACGGGCGAGCAGGUGCGGGCAGCGAUCGGUUGAAGAGCAUGCAUUUAGUUUUAUUUGCGUUUAAGAGCAGUUAGAGGCCACGGAAGGAGAGUUGUAUUGCAUUGAAGCUCGUCUGGAGGUUAGUUAACACAGUGUCCAAAGAGGGGCCAGAAGUAUACAGAAUGGUGUCGUCUGCGUAGAGGUGGAUCAGAGAGUCACCAGCAGCAAGAGCAACAUCAUUGAUGUAUACAGAGAAGAGAGUCAGCCCGAGGCGUGAACCCUGUGGCACCCGCAUAGAGACUGCCAGAGGUCCGGACCACAGGCCCUCCGAUUUGACACACUGAACUCUAUCAGAGAAGUAGUUGGUAAACCAGGCGAGGCAAUAAUUUGAGAAACCAAGGCUGUCGAGUCUGCCAAUAAGAAUGUGGUGAUUGACAGAGUUGAAAGCCUUGGCCAAGUCGAUGAAAACGGCUGCAUAGUAAUGUCUCUUAUCGAUGGCGGUUAUGAUGCCGUUUAGGACCUUGAGCGUGGCUGAGGUGCACCCAUGACCAGCUCAGAAACCAGAUUGCAUAGCGGAGAAGGUACGGUGGGAUUUGAAAUGGUCGGUAAUCUGUUUGUUAAUUUGGCUUUCGAAGACCUUAGAAAGGCAGGGUAAAAUAGAUAUAUGGUCAUGGUUAACCAUAUUUGUUUUCAGAAAAAGGUAUACAACCUAAGUGAAACACAUGUCCCUGUCCUCUUUUUCAAGGUGUGGCUGAAUAUAUAUUAUAUAUAUACUUUAAUAUUAAGAAAUAACACUUUUUUUGAUGGCUUGUUGUUUCUAAAUGGCUGCUGGGUAAGUUGAUAUGCAUCGAAUUCUUCGUUUGUAGGCAUUGCAUUGAGCGAAUGCUGCGCAGGUUCACUGAGUUGCAAACCAAAUGGACAGGUCUAGCUCAUUGAUUUGUAGAUCUGACGCAAUUUCUACAUCAGAUUAUGAGCCAAGCAAGUGUCGCAAUGAGUUAUGUAGUACCCACAGAAGGCCACAGGAGGGGCAAGAGAGCUAUACAACCAUACUGAUUUUUGCCUUAAAAACCCAAAACCUAACAUCCAAUAAAAUGUAUUUAUAACGCCCUUUUUACAUCAGCAGAUGUAAAUUAAUUUACAUGAAUUUACCCUGAUUUCUAGUGAUGGGUAGCGUAGAACACUUUUAGAAACUAUUUUAGUAAUAACAUUAUGUUAGUAAAUACAAAUAUAGUACUAACUAGCAUUUGUAUUAUUCUGUUAAUCAAAACCUGUCUAAGCAUUUAG
This is a long non-coding RNA of Oncorhynchus tshawytscha (Chinook salmon), 5694 nucleotides long. Lineage: Eukaryota; Metazoa; Chordata; Actinopteri; Salmoniformes; Salmonidae. The record is from Ensembl.